This 859-nucleotide ribosomal RNA is filed under the name uncultured bacterium. RNAcentral describes it as "SSU rRNA". It matches the Rfam family "Bacterial small subunit ribosomal RNA", at positions 524 to 1381 of the family's 1533-position model. The record is from RNAcentral.
UACGGAAGGGCCUAGCGUUGUUCGGAAUUACUGGGCGUAAAGCGCAUGUAGGCGGACUUGAAAGUUAGAAGUGAAAUCCCUGAGCUCAACCUAAUAAUUGCUUUUAAAACUUUUGUUCUGGAAUUCUGGAGAGGAAAAAGGAAUUUCCAGUGUAGAGGUGAAAUUCGUAAAUAUCACACAAAAUACCAAUUGCGAAGGCAGAUCUCUAACAAUAUACUGACGCUCAGGGACGAAAGCGCGGGUAGCGAACAGGAUUAAAUACCCUGUUAGUCCACGCCGUAAACGAUGGAUACUAGCUGUAUGUCUACCUUAAGCAGAUGUGUGGCUAAGCGAAAGUGAUAAGUAUCCCACCUGGGGAGUACGAUCGCAAGAUUGAAACUCAAAGGAAUUGACGGGGGCCCGCACAAGCGGUGGAGUCAUGUGGUUUAAUUCGAUGAUACGCGAGGACCCCUACCAGGUCUUACAUGUAACGGGUCAGAUCUAGAGAUAGAUCCUUCUUCGGGCUCACUGCAACAGGCGGCACGGGUGUCUUCACAUCGCGCCGCGAGGGAUCAGGGUAAGUCCUAUACCGCGCGCACCCCCCAUCGUUAGUUCCCACCGCGUAAUGUCGGGCACUCUAACGAAACUGCCGGUGCAAACCGUGAGGAAGGUGGGGAUGACGUCAAAUCAUCACGGCCCUUACGUCCUGGGCUACACACGUGCUACAAUGCUCGGUACAGAGAGCAGCCACUCCGCAAGUAGGAGCAAAUCUCUAAAGCGCGAUCUCAGGUCGGAUCGGAGUGUUCAACUUGACUCCGUGAAGCGGGGAUUGCUAGUUAUCAGCUAUCAGCCGUGAUGCGGUGAAUACGUUCCCGGGCCU